UUUUUUUAGUUUUUGU
This 16-nucleotide small RNA is filed under the name Arabidopsis thaliana (thale cress). RNAcentral's name for it is "ATSL278890". Lineage: Eukaryota; Viridiplantae; Streptophyta; Magnoliopsida; Brassicales; Brassicaceae. The record is from RNAcentral.